Long non-coding RNA from Lepidothrix coronata (blue-crowned manakin), 836 nucleotides. RefSeq lists it as uncharacterized. NCBI's taxonomy places the organism in Eukaryota, Metazoa, Chordata, Aves, Passeriformes, Pipridae. The record is from RefSeq and is a predicted model, not a curated record. The transcript is spliced from 3 exons.
CAGAGGGUUCACCUCAGAGGGCUGCCCGGCCAGCCUGGAGCAAGGACAGUACAGGCAUCUCAAGGUGUGUGGAGGCAACAGAGAGCUCUACCAGCCCCUGGGCUCUUUGGAUGAGUAUACUGACUUGCAGCAACUCAGAGGCCUGAAGUGACAGCCACCCAGUCCAGGGCUCUCUCUGGGAUGGACCUGACCAGCGGGACUGGUGAGCCUCGGCUCCUUCCCAUGAUCCUAGCUCAGCCAGAUGGGCUUUUCUGCUACAAGGGCACACGUGUGUUGGGAUAGGGCCUGAAAACCCACUGGUGACAGUAACAACGGGUUAUUGUUAUAUAACACACAUGCAAUGUGGUUUUGGUUAAAGCGGUUUCCUGCGGGACUAAAGGAAACUAAGCGGGAAGCAAACAACGGCUCGGGUCAGGCACCUCCUGCAACGUCACAGUGGCUGUUGCAGGGCAGUGGCAGAGGCUCCAUCACUGAGGAACUGGGCUCAAAGCUUAAUGCAUCCAAUAACAGUGCCAGGCCUCUGUUUAAAUGUCACAAGAGAGGAGAAAAAACCCGACCCAGCCCAAGCAACCCAUGAGUGAGAGCAUGAAGCCACAGCCAGCCCCAGAUGAGGACAUGCAGUGCAAUGGUCAUGUUGCCACAGUAUCACUGCAUGGUCCGCAGGUCCCCUGGGAAUAACCUUCACACAAAACCCUCAAGCUAGGAAGGGAGAGGAGGGAGCCAAGCAUUUCCAUAUCCACCCUAGGAGCGCCGGUCCCUGGGGAAGGCUGGAAUCUGGUGCCGACUGGCGCUGGGAACACCCACGUUCAGCUAACCUGACUGCAGCGUUCACUACA